This 543-nucleotide ribosomal RNA is filed under the name Staphylococcus aureus. RNAcentral describes it as "partial 23S ribosomal RNA". It matches the Rfam family "Bacterial large subunit ribosomal RNA", at positions 1563 to 2106 of the family's 2925-position model. Lineage: Bacteria; Bacillati; Bacillota; Bacilli; Caryophanales; Staphylococcaceae. The record is from RNAcentral.
UGAUGGGGAGAAGACAUUGUGUCUUCGAGUCGUUGAUUUCACACUGCCGAGAAAAGCCUCUAGAUAGAAAAUAGGUGCCCGUACCGCAAACCGACACAGGUAGUCAAGAUGAGAAUUCUAAGGUGAGCGAGCGAACUCUCGUUAAGGAACUCGGCAAAAUGACCCCGUAACUUCGGGAGAAGGGGUGCUCUUUAGGGUUAACGCCCAGAAGAGCCGCAGUGAAUAGGCCCAAGCGACUGUUUAUCAAAAACACAGGUCUCUGCUAAACCGUAAGGUGAUGUAUAGGGGCUGACGCCUGCCCGGUGCUGGAAGGUUAAGAGGAGUGGUUAGCUUCUGCGAAGCUACGAAUCGAAGCCCCAGUAAACGGCGGCCGUAACUAUAACGGUCCUAAGGUAGCGAAAUUCCUUGUCGGGUAAGUUCCGACCCGCACGAAAGGCGUAACGAUUUGGGCACUGUCUCAACGAGAGACUCGGUGAAAUCAUAGUACCUGUGAAGAUGCAGGUUACCCGCGACAGGACGGAAAGACCCCGUGGAGCUUUACUG